UACGGAGGGGGCUAGCGUUGUUCGGAAUUACUGGGCGUAAAGCGCACGUAGGCGGCUUUGUAAGUCAGAUGUGAAAGCCCCGGGCUCAACCUGGGAAUUGCAUUUGAGACUGCGUAGCUAGGGUGCGGAAGAGGGAAGCGGAAUUUCCGGUGUAGCGGUGAAAUGCGUAGAUAUCGGAAGGAACACCAGUGGCGAAAGCGGCUUCCUGGUCCAGCACCGACGUUCAGGCACGAAAGCGUGGGGAGCAAACAGG
RNAcentral lists this ribosomal RNA (253 nucleotides) under uncultured bacterium. RNAcentral's name for it is "partial 16S ribosomal RNA". It matches the Rfam family "Bacterial small subunit ribosomal RNA", at positions 524 to 776 of the family's 1533-position model. The record is from RNAcentral.